AUUGAACGCUGGCGGCAUGCCUUACACAUGCAAGUCGAACGGCAGCGCGGGGCAACCUGGCGGCGAGUGGCGAACGGGUGAGUAAAAUAUCGGAACAUACCCUAGAGUGGGGGAUAACGUAGCGAAAGUUACGCUAAUACCGCAUACGCACUAAGGUGGAAAGUGGGGGAUCUUCGGACCUCAUGCUCAUGGAGUGGCCGAUAUCUGAUUAGCUAGUUGGUGAGGUAAAGGCUCACCAAGGCGACGAUCAGUAGCUGGUUUGAGAGAACGACCAGCCACACUGGAACUGAGACACGGUCCAGACUCCUACGGGAGGCAGCAGUGGGGAAUUUUGGACAAUGGGGCAACCCUGAUCCAGCAAUGCCGCGUGAGUGAAGAAGGCC
Molecule: ribosomal RNA, 383 nt
Filed under: uncultured bacterium
Lineage: Bacteria
Description: bacterial SSU rRNA
Rfam family: Bacterial small subunit ribosomal RNA
Source: RNAcentral